Long non-coding RNA from Haplochromis burtoni (Burton's mouthbrooder), 1088 nucleotides. RefSeq lists it as uncharacterized. NCBI's taxonomy places the organism in Eukaryota, Metazoa, Chordata, Actinopteri, Cichliformes, Cichlidae. The transcript has 3 exons. The record is from RefSeq and is a predicted model, not a curated record.
GUAUCUGAAGGAGAGAUUUACAGCUUCAAUGUAACAGAUGGAGGAGUUUAUUACUGUGUGGCCACUAAUGAUCUGGGUAAUCAGACAUCAGCAGAGAUUAACAUGACUGUUGGAGGUGGAAACCUGGUUGGUUUCUACACUAUAGUGAAGACUGUUGGAAUCAUAAUGCUCAUGAGCACACUGAUCUUAUUUGAGUGCUGGUUCAGAUCAAGACGCUCCAACAAACCAGAUACUGAAAGCUGUCAGAUGAACAGAGUCACAUCACAACACAUCAACUAAAGUUUCCACAGGAGGGAAAACUCCACCUUCAAUUAUCACUUAAUUCCCUUCAGUGACUUUCAACAGUUGUACAUGACCAUUUUACUUUGAAUGUAGAGAUGCUGUUGCGGAAAUCGAAACAUUUACUUUGUGGAUAAUUUCAUAUCAUUCCUUCGCUGCCCUGAGUCUGUUAAACAGGGGCUGCUUCAGUCUGACCAUCUUAUUUUUUUAUAGUGUAUCCAUGAAUAUUGAUCUAACACCACACUUCUGUAAGACUGAUCCAGCAUAAUGUGUGGAGAUCCAUCCAAUUUUACACUGUAUUACAGGUACAGCUGUGUUCUUGCUAUUACUAUAGAAUCGAUUUUAAGGUUUUACUAUUUGUUUUUAAAGCUCUCCAUGGUUUGGCUCCAGGUUACAUUUCAGAUCUUCUUAGCCUCCACUUACCCACUCGAUCUCUGCUCUCCUCCAGUCAGAUGGUUUUAUCAGCUCAAAUCUAGAGGGGACAGGGCUUUCUCCAUUGCCGUCCCGAGACUCUGGAAUAGUCUUCCCCCCUUCAUAAAAUUCUCUUCAUCCUUGGAAGUCUUUAAAUCGAUUCUCAAGACCUACUUAUUUUCCAAGGCUUUCGGAUCUCUUUGAUAUCUUUUUUUAUUCUGUCUAUUUGGUCUCUUAUAUUAUGGAUGGUGUUGUAUGUGUAUAUGCGUUAUAUUCACAUAUGUGUGCUUGUGUGUGAAUGUGUACAGUUUUGUAUAUGUAUGUGCAUAUUUGCAUGUACAUUAUAUGUUAUAUACUCUUACAUGUCUUACAAUUCUUUUUUAAAAUGUUUUCUUUCU